AAUUGCGUUUCAUAACGAUUUAAAACACUGUGUUUUAACGUUUGCUGUUCACCUGACUACGGUCAUGGUUUGAACGCACGUAGCAUGGUUAAAAACAAUCGGAAAGCAACGAACGUGACCGCAACCUCUUGUUGCCUUUAUUUUUAAAGCAUAUUCUCUGAUUAUUAUCUUCGGGUAGUAGUUACGCUGAUUAUGUUGAAAAAGGCUUUAAAACUAGAGGGACCGCUGUUCUAUUUUCUUUAAACCAGAGGAAGAUUGCGGCAAUAACAGGUCUGUGAUGCCCUCAGAUGUUCCGGGCUGCUCACGUGCUACAAUGAUUGUUGCAGUGAGCAUCUAUUUUCAAACGCUAUCGUUGUGGAUUUUUGUAGUUGUAAUUUGGUUUCGGCUGGGUUAUAAUUGCAAUUUAUUCGCGUAACGAUUUAGCUAAACCUUCUUCGAAAGCAAGUAGGUAAUCAAUUGGAAGUAACGAUUUCCUUUUUUUGGAAAGUACRACUUAUUGGCUCAAUACGCUAUGCGAGUUCAUUUUYUUCGGAAGGUGUUCUUUUGUYGUAGUUGUUUGGGUAUCUGUACUAAAACACUUUAUUUCAAGGUGGGGACAGACCAUUGUUAAUUGUUGGUCUCGUUUUAACUAGGAAUGCCUUGUACGGGUUGGUUCAUCAAACCACCCGGAAUACGUCCCUGCCCUUUGUACACSCCGCCCGUCGCUCUUACCGAUGGACUUCUYUGUGAGGUUGAGGGACUGGGAUUUCGAUCCUACGGAAACUUAAUCGAAC
This 773-nucleotide ribosomal RNA is filed under the name Bathysiphon sp. RNAcentral describes it as "SSU rRNA". Lineage: Eukaryota; Foraminifera; Astrorhizida; Bathysiphonidae. The record is from RNAcentral.